GCCUUUUCCACCUCAGAUCCCCCUGUCCUACCCAUCCUAGCUUUAACUCAGCCAUAAUUGCCUUGCUUAAUCCCAGGAACCUGGCCACUGCUCCUUGGUCCUUGGCAUUAUGACGGGAUUCCCUUGUCACCUCUGACAGUUCCUGGCUGCGGUGUCCGCGGACUGGCUGGGGAGUGAUGACAGGUAGCCAUCAGAGCUCCAGCCUCCAGGCAGCUUUAGGGAUUAAAACGGAGGCCAAAGCAACUCCAGACCUGUUUUUAUAGCCAAAUACUGAGCCUCAGUGGUUGUACACUCAGGGGCUUCCAGGAAAAUGCCAGCCUUACUUUUCUGGGGUGCCUUUUAAUAACCUCCAAGCACUUUAUGGACUGUUUGUCGAGGGACGGUGAAUCAGGAGAAUCACUAUUCUGAUUUCCUUUGUCUCCGAAGAGGAAGUCCCUGACUAGCUAUAUAACUUUGGGCAAGUUACCUCUCACCUCUUUGUGCCCCAGUGUUCUCCUUGGGAAACUGGAUUUAGGUUAGAUGAUCUUUUAAGGCUCCUUGUAUGAUAUUUUGUGAUCUGUGCAUGGCAGAGUAUAGAUUAGAAGCCACAUUUUCCAACCUAGUGCUAUAGUUCAGAAUACAUAGCACCCCAAGCGUCUGGCUGGAGCCGAGGAUGGGUCCUCCAGUUUUUGGCACAGAUGUUCCGGAGCCCAGGAAGCAUCCCAUAACCAACCUUCAGCCCCACCGCCACCCCCAGCGUAUUCCAGAGCCGCUUCCAAACCACAGCCUAUCCUCUGCUCCAUUUCGCUCUUGCCCUCACAGACUUGCAGCCUCCAUGCUCUGAGACAACUGUGCAAGGGAUGGAAACCCUAUUUUCUUUUCUCCAAGACCAUGGUUGGUCUGCUUCCCUCACUCGGGCUCCUUGACAGUCUUCUAGAAGAGAGGAGGAGGAAAAGAAGCAGUUCCUGAUGUUACAAAUGAACAAGGAUCUCCCAGCCUUAGUCUUUGAGAAAAGAUGGCUGAAAGAGAGGAACUCUCCAAGUCAUUCCGCAAACAAAUGCCCAUUUAAACAUCAUCCUUGUCUUGUGAAGAAAACAGGAAGAAUGUCAUGCACCGUGUGGAUCACCUUCAGUUCAAAGUUGCAGCAAAGUGAAGAAACUACUGGAAGCCACCCAGCAAUGCACUGUUUAGUCAUCAAUUAGGAGCCCAUGGGAGGAUAAUAGGGAGACUGGGUGGAGGCUCAGUGUGUAAUAAUCUCUUGUCUAAUGUAUGUGUGUCACUGCCAUGUUGUAUGAACAAUAGUGAGGGCUCACAUUUACUUAACACUUGUGUACUCAAAUCUGGGUUUUUCUUUCUUUCCAGAACUAUGACUCAAUCAUAAAAUCUGUUUUGUUUGCAUGCAUGCCCAAAACAACCCUAUAGGUAGAACAUUAUCAUUAUCUCUGUUUUAGAGAUGAGGAAACAGGCUCAGAGAAGCUCAGAAAUUUGUUCAAGAUCGCACAGCUAGUAAAUGGCAGAAGUAGGAUUGUGAACCCAGGGAAUCUCCAGAGCCUCUGUGUAACCAUGAUAUUAUAUUUUUUUCCUCUUUAAAAACAAAAUUAAAAACCUUG
RNAcentral lists this small RNA (1589 nucleotides) under Pan troglodytes (chimpanzee). RNAcentral's name for it is "retained intron". Lineage: Eukaryota; Metazoa; Chordata; Mammalia; Primates; Hominidae. The record is from RNAcentral.